RNAcentral lists this unclassified non-coding RNA (282 nucleotides) under Hevea brasiliensis (rubber tree). Lineage: Eukaryota; Viridiplantae; Streptophyta; Magnoliopsida; Malpighiales; Euphorbiaceae. The record is from RNAcentral.
GCCCUCUUUAGCACCUGUCCCCAGGCCUUUCCGCCAUCAAACCCCUACCCAUCUCUUCUUUUAGCACUUCCCUCUCUCUCUCUCUCUCUAUCUCUCGUCAAGGUUCAUAUCAUGGCUGACCGCACUGCUCCCCAUAGAACUUCAAGACCUUCAGCCACAACCAACACCUCCACCUUUCUACGUAAACUGCAAGCUCAUGCUCCCAACUCAACCCAACUCUUCGGUUUCUUGACCCUCCUCAUCUCCGGUUCCAUUCUUCUCCUCCUCACAGGCAUCACCGUC